This 75-nucleotide transfer RNA is filed under the name Amycolatopsis oliviviridis. RNAcentral's name for it is "tRNA-Arg". The record is from RNAcentral. Lineage: Bacteria; Bacillati; Actinomycetota; Actinomycetes; Pseudonocardiales; Pseudonocardiaceae.
UGGGCGCGGGCGUCGAGGAGCACUCGCGCUUCUUCGAGGAGCGCUGGCAGCGGCUGUUCCGUUCGCUGUACCCGA